GCCGCGGUAGCUCAGUUGGGAGAGCGUUAGACUGAAGUUACGUAACCAUCUGGUCACGUGAUCUGCUACAUCUACAGGUCACCCGUUCAAUCCGGGUUCGUGGCA
Molecule: non-coding RNA, 105 nt
Organism: Ceratobasidium sp. AG-I
Lineage: Eukaryota; Fungi; Basidiomycota; Agaricomycetes; Cantharellales; Ceratobasidiaceae
Source: the annotation of a GenBank genome assembly